UACGUAGGGUGCAAGCGUUGUCCGGAAUUAUUGGGCGUAAAGAGCUCGUAGGCGGUUUGUCGCGUCUGCUGUGAAAACCCGAGGCUCAACCUCGGGCCUGCAGUGGGUACGGGCAGACUAGAGUGCGGUAGGGGAGAUUGGAAUUCCUGGUGUAGCGGUGGAAUGCGCAGAUAUCAGGAGGAACACCGGUGGCGAAGGCGGUUCUCUGGGCCUUACCUGACGCUGAGGAGCGAAAGCGUGGGGAGCAAAAGGG
Molecule: ribosomal RNA, 253 nt
Filed under: uncultured bacterium
Lineage: Bacteria
Description: partial 16S ribosomal RNA
Rfam family: Bacterial small subunit ribosomal RNA
Source: RNAcentral